Long non-coding RNA from Lotus japonicus, 943 nucleotides. RefSeq lists it as uncharacterized. NCBI's taxonomy places the organism in Eukaryota, Viridiplantae, Streptophyta, Magnoliopsida, Fabales, Fabaceae. The record is from RefSeq and is a predicted model, not a curated record. The transcript has 3 exons.
AGAAAAAGGUACCUACUCUGUACCGCUUUAUACACUCAACCAUGAAACCCAUUUUUCCACUCAACCAAACAAUGUGAAAUUGUCACUCAACCCCAAUGAUGAAGAAAUCUCUCACUUAAAAGGAGAUUGGAGAUGUUGGCAAAGAAGAGGAGUCUCACCUUCCAGAAACUGGAUUGAAGAGAGAUGGAUAUAUAGUGGUUCUGAGAUGUCCAUGGACAAGGUAGCAUGUGGGUUUAGAUAGUUGGGAGUUGACAUCUAUGCCGCCGAGGAGGAUCUGUUAAUAGGAAGGUAGGGGCUAUAUCUGUACUUAGAUAUACUAAGCAAUUUCCAGGACUUCCUGCUGAAUUUGAAGUGUUUUGGAAAAAGGGAUGCAGACAUGUAUGUUCUUUUGGAAUUUGUAUUUAGUAUCCAGCAUAAAAACCUCUAUUGAUGCCAUGGGCCAUGUUUCAACUUGAAGGCACCUCCACUACACCUUUGCUUUAGUUGCUGCAAGUUAUUGUAUUGAGGUUCAGUGUUAGGAGUUAGAAGAUGGAUGAAGCAAGAACAUGAGUUAUUAAGUGGAUUUAAGGCUAUAUAUCUAGACAUAACUGUGAACUUUUUUGUUUUGUUUUUUGUUUUCCUGAUUGUGGGUUUCUUUUGAUUUCGACUAUUUAAUUUCUCAAGUAGGAGAAAAGAUUUGAUUUGGGUAGGAUAAGGGGUUACUAAAUUGACUGUCUUUCUUUAUUUGUAAUAUGUAGGCUGGCAAAUUUCAUAAUGACAGUAAUGAUGAAAGUUUUUGGAUUCUUUGGAUAAAGCCCAAUGAUACCAAGUAGUUAUUAGACCCUAAGCUACAAAGGAAGGAUAACAUUUUUGCACAACUGGUGCUGUAAGCUUCUUAUAUACCCACACAUAUAUUCAUGUCUCCAAUUUUGAUAUUGUAUAAACAUGGAGUUUUCAUUGUGUU